AUGGAGCCCGGAGCUUUAGCGACGUGCGGGGCGGUGGCCUUCUCCUGGGAGCAGGAGCCGGGGGUGUCCAAGGAGAGCCCGGCGGCCGAGGCAAGGAAGCACUCCGGCGGAAGGAGUACUACGCCGGACAGCACCAAGAAGGUGGAGGCACGGACGCACCAGCUGCGCGUGCCGCCUCCUCCGGGAGGUCCUGGAGCGCCGUCUCUGUCGCCGCCGGUGAAGACGGUGAGGAGCAGGUCCAGCAGACGGGGCGUCCGGCCGGAGGAGGACCCGUUCCUCGCGGCCUACGUCGCCUGCACGGCCAGCGGCAGGAAGACCGGCCGGGGGCACACCGAGGCCCAGAAGAUGCUCGGGUGGGCCGGGCUUAGGUUUGCCCUUGGGCUUGGCCUCUCUUGCAAGACCUCUUGUGGUGUUGCCGAGGAGAGCGUCGUCAGCCUGACUAAAAAACGCUGA
This 453-nucleotide ribosomal RNA is filed under the name Triticum aestivum (bread wheat). RNAcentral describes it as "partial small subunit ribosomal RNA". The record is from RNAcentral. Lineage: Eukaryota; Viridiplantae; Streptophyta; Magnoliopsida; Poales; Poaceae.